RNAcentral lists this long non-coding RNA (1439 nucleotides) under Sparus aurata (gilthead seabream). RNAcentral describes it as "lncRNA (ENSSAUG00010009096.1)". The record is from RNAcentral. Lineage: Eukaryota; Metazoa; Chordata; Actinopteri; Spariformes; Sparidae.
ACUACUUUGUAAUCAGUCAAUAAAGUUAUUCAAACUGCUGCUGCUGUCUGUACAGCUGAUGUUGUGCUUUGUUGUCCUCUCAGUCUGUCGGGUGGAGGUGAAGGAGGGGGAGGAGUCCGUUCAGCUGCCCUUCAAAACAACAUCCAACCUGCCUGAGGAUGCUACAGUGAAGUGAAGACGCUAUGAACCCUCAUACAGGAGGGUCCAUGUGUAUCAGAACAGAUCUGACCGGCCUGAGAAACAGGACCAGGUUUAUAAAGACCGAACAGAGAUGAAGAAAGACUUGCUGAAGACUGGAGACCUCAGUCUGACCUUGAAAUGCCCCAAAGAGACAGAUGCAGGAAGAUACUGGUGUGCAGUCUACAACCAGGACAGAGACAUCCUGAGAGCAAAAACAGUGAAGCUCAAAGUCAAACUUCAGUAUGAAGAUACAGAACGGAGGGAGAAUUCAGAUGAAGAAACAGUGGACAUCAGGAACAGAAGCAGCUCCACUGAUCCGACUCCUCUGAUGGCUGAUCAAUCUUUUUGAUCGGUCUGUUGGUCAAUCUUUGAUUAUUGAUCUGAUUUGACUUUGGAUCAGAGACUAAAUGGAGGUGAAGGAGCUGAUGGAGGACAGAUGAAGACAGGAGGACACUUCGUCAGCUUCUUCUUCACUCUGACUCCUCCUACUGACUCUCACACACAGUCUACACACUCACUACUGAUGACUAUUGAUCGGUGAUGUCAGAGUGAUGUCACAUGUUGGUUUGGCCUGAACCACGUGGUUUAGAUCCUUUGAACUCUGACAGUAAAGUGUAAAUACAACCUCAGAUGUACAGACUGCAGGUCUCCACUCUGUGAGGCAGCAUAACUGUAAUUACAGCACCCCCAUGUGGCACACCUUACUUCUACAUGUGUGAUGACUGAGUGGACAGUUUGAUGUGUGUCACAUUAAUAAUUGGAACAACAGGAGUCUGGUUUGUCUUUCUUAGAUAAAAUUCCCUCCUACUGAGGAGUCAGAGGAGUCUACUGAAUAACAAUAAAACAGGCCUGACUUUAGAGUGUUUCACUGUCUGCUGACAGCUUUCCUGUCCUGGACCAUGAUGAACCAUUGUGACAACCCGCUUCAGUAAUUAUACAAAAGAGAUUGAACAUAAACAACAAAGCCAGGAUGCAGUUGGAAGAAGAUGAAUUUAUCAAUCAAACAACCUAACAAAGAAAAACUACAAGUGAUCAACUGAUGGACCAGCCAAAAUAAACAAAAGAAGGGCAGCCUCCCAGAUCAACCAACCUGGGUGGUCGGAGGUGAGGGCUGACUCUGUACCCUAACUUUUUCUGCACAAAUCACACCUAUGGUCAUAUACUCACAAAUAUUAAUAUGUAUAACAUGUUGUCUAACCACUGUGUGUAUGUUUAUUUUUGGUUUCCUGGCAGACUUUUAAAUGGUUGUUUAAGGUAUA